GUUCCCUCUAAAAGACUGUGUUCUGAUUGGUUUAGGCAUCAGUGAUCAAUAUCUCACUACCUGGAAAGCUUUGAUACUGUGUACAUGUAUUUGGUAGAGGUUGUUUUAAAUCAGUAAUAUAUUAGUUUUAAAGGAAUGGAAUUAUUAGUCAGAGACCAUUAACCUGAAUCACAGUGUGAUAGAGCAGAUGAGUUGUUGGUGCAGCUGGUGAUGUUUUCUAUAGUGGUGAUGCAUUUAAGUCCACAACUUGGAUGCUUAGUUUACCAACCAAUAAAUUGAUAAAGGUACAAAGAGCUUGUUUCCUACACACGGCCUCCAGAUGGACCUACUCCUCAACCCCCACUAGCAGUUAUACUUCUUUAUAAUUUACAAAAGGACUUUAAGUAAAACUAGCCAAGUGACAUAUG
Molecule: long non-coding RNA, 407 nt
Organism: Mercenaria mercenaria
Lineage: Eukaryota; Metazoa; Mollusca; Bivalvia; Venerida; Veneridae
Exons: 3
Source: RefSeq, a predicted model, not a curated record